RNAcentral lists this ribosomal RNA (253 nucleotides) under uncultured Eubacteriales bacterium. Its description in RNAcentral is "uncultured Clostridiales bacterium partial 16S ribosomal RNA". It matches the Rfam family "Bacterial small subunit ribosomal RNA", at positions 524 to 776 of the family's 1533-position model. The record is from RNAcentral. Lineage: Bacteria; Bacillati; Bacillota; Clostridia; Eubacteriales.
UACGUAGGGGGCAAGCGUUAUCCGGAUUCACUGGGUGUAAAGGGAGCGUAGACGGCGACGCAAGUCUGGAGUGAAAGCCCGGGGCCCAACCCCGGGACUGCUCUGGAAACUGCGUCGCUGGAGUACGGGAGGGGCAGGCGGAAUUCCUGGUGUAGCGGUGAAAUGCGUAGAUAUCAGGAGGAACACCGGCGGCGAAGGCGGCCUGCUGGACUGCAACUGACGUUGAGGCCCGAAAGCAUGGGUAGCGAACAGG